This 428-nucleotide long non-coding RNA is filed under the name Olea europaea (common olive). RNAcentral's name for it is "long non-coding RNA (OEUR_LNC011377)". The record is from RNAcentral. Lineage: Eukaryota; Viridiplantae; Streptophyta; Magnoliopsida; Lamiales; Oleaceae.
UAAUAAAUUGGCUAAAAAUCAUACCUUAUGACCAAUUCUUGAUUUUUUAGAACCAACUUCUAGAUAUCCUUUUCGGCGAAGUUUUUUAGGAGCUCCCUUACUUUUCGUGUGUUUCGGGUCCAAGAUGAUUUCGCCAACAAUUUUUCCUGCUUCAUCAAAGCUUUGGAAGCCCACAGUCAUAGACUUCAACAUCGACGACUCCGCUGUUUGGAAUUCAAUCCAGUCCAUAAUUUCAUGUGAUCGUGACUCGUCAUGUGCUACCAAGUCAGCUAAUUUCGUAAAAGCAUUGCACAUUUGCUCAUAUCUAACUUGGUCUGGAGUACUAAUCCAACCAUGGUAAUUGAUCGAAACCCUCAUGUACGGUCUGUUCACAUCCCUCCUCCAUCUCUUCAAAAUGUACUUAUCGGGAACUAAUUUCACUUGAUUUC